UACGUAGGUGGCGAGCGUUGUCCGGAAUUAUUGGGCGUAAAGGGCGCGUAGGUGGUUUUCUAAGUCAGAUGUGAAAACGUGGGGCUUAACUUCACGAUUGCAUUUGAAACUGGAGAACUUGAGGACAGGAGAGGAAAGCGGAAUUCCCAGUGUAGCGGUGAAAUGCGUAGAGAUUGGGAAGAACACCAGUGGCGAAGGCGGCUUUCUGGACUGCACCUGACACUGAGGCGCGAAAGCUAGGGGAG
Molecule: ribosomal RNA, 245 nt
Filed under: uncultured bacterium
Lineage: Bacteria
Description: partial 16S ribosomal RNA
Rfam family: Bacterial small subunit ribosomal RNA
Source: RNAcentral